GAUGAAGAACGCAGCGAAAUGCGAUACUUGGUGUGAAUUGCAGAAUCCCGUGAACCAUCGAGUCUUUGAACGCAAGUUGCGCCCGAAGCCAUUAGGCCGAGGGCACGCCUGCCUGGGCGUCACACGUCGUUGCCCCCCCCAUCUACUCCUUCGGGAUUGCGGGGGGGGGAUGAUGGCCUCCCGUGCGCCUCGCCGCGCGGUUGGCAUAAAUGCCAAGUCCUCGGCGACGCACGCCACGACAAUCGGUGGUUGCGAAACCUCGGUUGCCCGUCGUGUGCGGUCGUCGCGCAUCGAGGGCUCGAAAAAAUUGCCGAGUUCCGGCUCGGCUUUCAACGCGACCCCAGGUCAGGCGGGGUUACCCGCUGAAUUUAAGCAUAUCAAUAAGCGGAGGA
Molecule: unclassified non-coding RNA, 392 nt
Filed under: soil metagenome
Description: partial contains 5.8S ribosomal RNA, internal transcribed spacer 2, and large subunit ribosomal RNA
Rfam family: 5.8S ribosomal RNA (bases 1-122)
Source: RNAcentral